CUAACUUGCCAAAUCGAUCACAUCUUCAAUCGUGUGGCUUUUGUUAAAGUCGUUAACAUUGACCAGUUUGUAUCUAACAAGACUGGCGCUGUUCUAGGUGCCUUAGAUGUGUUUCCUCAUUUAAUGGGCACAGCGCCCCAGUGAGGCUGCUGGCAGGAAGUGCCCAGAUUGCUGCAGAUAAUUAACUGUUUAUCAAGUCUUGGCUGACCUUUAGUGAGUGGCCAUUUGUCAAAGGUGGCAUAAAGAGAGCUGUUAAAUCCAUUACAUGCUUAUGAACAGGCUUGGCGCUCCUCCAGCUGCAAUGCCAGUGUGCCCAGG
Long non-coding RNA from Molossus molossus (Pallas's mastiff bat), 318 nucleotides. RefSeq lists it as uncharacterized. The record is from RefSeq and is a predicted model, not a curated record. Lineage: Eukaryota; Metazoa; Chordata; Mammalia; Chiroptera; Molossidae. The transcript has 2 exons.